Molecule: unclassified non-coding RNA, 240 nt
Filed under: soil metagenome
Description: partial contains 5.8S ribosomal RNA, internal transcribed spacer 2, and large subunit ribosomal RNA
Source: RNAcentral
AACGCACGAGACCUGCGGACCUGCGGAAGGAUCAUUAUUGAAUUUAACUUGAUCAAGUUGUGCUGGUCUUUAGGGACAAGUGCACGCUUGAUUCAAUGUUAUUUUAACCACCUGUGCACCUUUUGUAGACUUGGAAUAUCUAUCGAUUAAAUAUCGGAUGAAAGGAUUGCUAAAGUUUCUAUCCUUUAAAUUUCUCAAGUCUACGUUUUUCAUAUACACUUGUAAUAACAAAACUAUUGG